RNAcentral lists this ribosomal RNA (793 nucleotides) under uncultured bacterium. Its description in RNAcentral is "bacterial SSU rRNA". It matches the Rfam family "Bacterial small subunit ribosomal RNA", at positions 8 to 796 of the family's 1533-position model. The record is from RNAcentral.
AGAGUUUGAUCCUGGCUCAGAUUGAACGCUGGCGGCAGGCCUAACACAUGCAAGUCGAGCGGUAGAGAGAAGCUUGCUUCUCUUGAGAGCGGCGGACGGGUGAGUAAUGCCUAGGAAUCUGCCUGGUAGUGGGGGAUAACGUUCGGAAACGGACGCUAAUACCGCAUACGUCCUACGGGAGAAAGCAGGGGACCUUCGGGCCUUGCGCUAUCAGAUGAGCCUAGGUCGGAUUAGCUAGUUGGUGAGGUAAUGGCUCACCAAGGCGACGAUCCGUAACUGGUCUGAGAGGAUGAUCAGUCACACUGGAACUGAGACACGGUCCAGACUCCUACGGGAGGCAGCAGUGGGGAAUAUUGGACAAUGGGCGAAAGCCUGAUCCAGCCAUGCCGCGUGUGUGAAGAAGGUCUUCGGAUUGUAAAGCACUUUAAGUUGGGAGGAAGGGUUGUAGAUUAAUACUCUGCAAUUUUGACGUUACCGACAGAAUAAGCACCGGCUAACUCUGUGCCAGCAGCCGCGGUAAUACAGAGGGUGCAAGCGUUAAUCGGAAUUACUGGGCGUAAAGCGCGCGUAGGUGGUUUGUUAAGUUGGAUGUGGAAUCCCCGGGCUCAACCUGGGAACUGCAUUCAAAACUGACUGACUAGAGUAUGGUAGAGGGUGGUGGAAUUUCCUGUGUAGCGGUGAAAUGCGUAGAUAUAGGAAGGAACACCAGUGGCGAAGGCGACCACCUGGACUAAUACUGACACUGAGGUGCGAAAGCGUGGGGAGCAAACAGGAUUAGAUACCCUGGUAGUCC